Molecule: long non-coding RNA, 384 nt
Filed under: Homo sapiens (human)
Lineage: Eukaryota; Metazoa; Chordata; Mammalia; Primates; Hominidae
Description: non-protein coding lnc-HPGDS-11:1
Source: RNAcentral
UCAGACCAAAGGGUCUCCUGAUUAAUGAGAGAAACAGAGUUUAACUGAUAUAUAUAUAUUCCAGAGAAGUGUCUAUAUAUGUCGUAAGCAAAAACAGAAUGAAACAAUAAAAUAAUGCAAUUUAGAAAAAUGUAACAGAAGAAAAAUGCACACAUACGAAUUCUAACUUCCCUCCUUUUUUUCACUUUGUACUACCCUGACUUUCUUUCCUCCCUCCUUUACUUCUAACUACUUAUUUUAUUUUAAAAAAUAUUUGAGAUAACUGCAUUGAGUUAGAUUAACUAAUGAGAAGGCUUUAAUUUUUAUAUCUCAAUCAUUAAUAUAUUGGAUGGUUAUUCUUAAAUUCAACAGUGUACUCAUGCAUAACGCUCUCUCCUAUUGGAA